GACGAACGCUGGCGGCGUGCUUAACACAUGCAAGUCGAACGCUGAAGCUUGGUGCUUGCACUGGGUGGAUGAGUGGCGAACGGGUGAGUAAUACGUGAGUAACCUGCCCUUGACCCUGGGAUAAGCCUGGGAAACUGGGUCUAAUACCGGAUAUGACAUGCCACUGCAUGGUGGUGUGUGGAAAGGGUUUUACUGGUUUUGGAUGGGGUCACGGCCUAUCAGCUUGUUGGUGGGGUAAUGGCCUACCAAGGCGACGACGGGUAGCCGGCCUGAGAGGGUGACCGGCCACACUGGGACUGGGGCACGGGCCAGACUGCUACGGGAGGCAGCAGUGGGAAUUAUUGCACAAUGGGCGGAAGCCUGAUGCAGCGUCGCCGCGUGGGGGAUGACGGCCUUCGGGUUGUAAACCUCUUUCAGCACGGAAGAAGCGAGAGUGACGGUACGUGCAGAAGAAGCGCCGGCUAACUACGUG
This 472-nucleotide ribosomal RNA is filed under the name uncultured bacterium. Its description in RNAcentral is "partial 16S ribosomal RNA". It matches the Rfam family "Bacterial small subunit ribosomal RNA", at positions 28 to 507 of the family's 1533-position model. The record is from RNAcentral.